ACUUUUCUAUUCUCGGUUUAAUAAACUUUCUGAGUUCCAGAGACUUCUCAAAUCCUCCACCUUCUCUCUACUUUCUCUCUCUACAAUCUCCAUAAUUUCUCGGCUUAACUUCGAUGUUUUCAUGGUAUCAAAGCCUCGACGACGAUCCGAUCAUGUUUCUAUGUGCUUCGUGGUCUUGGAUGAAGUCUGUUUCGAGGUUUUUGGGGGUGAUUUCUGAGACNNN
This 223-nucleotide long non-coding RNA is filed under the name Nicotiana benthamiana. RNAcentral describes it as "long non-coding RNA (NBEN_LNC034755)". The record is from RNAcentral. Lineage: Eukaryota; Viridiplantae; Streptophyta; Magnoliopsida; Solanales; Solanaceae.